Molecule: ribosomal RNA, 991 nt
Filed under: uncultured bacterium
Lineage: Bacteria
Description: bacterial SSU rRNA
Rfam family: Bacterial small subunit ribosomal RNA
Source: RNAcentral
CAGCAGCCGCGGUAAUACGUAUGGACCGAGCGUUGUCCGGAAUCAUUGGGCGUAAAGGGUACGUAGGCGGCCUAAUAAGUUAGAAGUGGAAGAAUAUAGCUCAACUAUAUAAAGCUUUUAAAACUGUUAGGCUUGAGAGAUGAAAGGGAAAGUGGAAUUCCUAGUGUAGCGGUGAAAUGCGCAGAUAUUAGGAAGAAUACCGGUGGCGAAGGCGACUUUCUGGUCAUCAUCUGACGCUGAGGUACGAAAGCGUGGGUAGCAAACAGGAUUAGAUACCCUGGUAGUCCACGCUGUAAACGAUGAGUGUUAGGUUCUUGGAAUAAUCUGGGAGCCGCAGCUAACGCAUUAAACACUCCGCCUGGGGAGUACGGCCGCAAGGCUAAAACUCAAAGGAAUUGACGGGGACCCGCACAAGCAGCGGAGCAUGUGGUUUAAUUCGACGCAACGCGAAGAACCUUACCAAGUCUUGACAUAAUACGGAGGGAAUUAGAGAUAAUUCCUUACCACUUCGGUGGGCUGUAUUACAGGUGGUGCAUGGUUGUCGUCAGCUCGUGUCGUGAGAUGUUGGGUUAAGUCCCAUAACGAGCGCAACCCCUAUCGUUAGUUACCAUCAUUAAGUUGGGGACUCUAGCGAUACUGCCGGUGAUAAACCGGAGGAAGGUGGGGACGACGUCAAAUCAUCAUGCCCUUUAUGACUUGGGCUACACACGUGCUACAAUGGCAGAUACAGAGGGCAGCGAAAGAGUGAUCUGAAGCGAAACUCACAAAAUCUGUCCCAGUUCGGAUUGUACUCUGCAACUCGAGUACAUGAAGUUGGAGUUGCUAGUAAUCGCGAAUCAGAAUGUCGCGGUGAAUGCGUUCCCGGGUCUUGUACACACCGCCCGUCACACCAUGGGAGUUGGCAAUACCCGAAGCCUGUGAGCGAACCAUUAGGACGCAGCAGUCGAAGGUAGGGUCAGUAACUGGGGUGAAGUCGUAACAAGGUAGCCGU